UACAGACGUCUCAAGCGUUGUUCGGAUUCAUUGGGCGUAAAGGGUGCGUAGGUGGCGUCGUAAGUCAGGUGUGAAAUCUCGGGGCUCAACCCCGAAACUGCACUUGAUACUGCGAUGCUCGAGUACUGGAGAGGAGAUUGGAAUUUACGGUGUAGCAGUGAAAUGCGUAGAUAUCGUAAGGAAGACCAGUGGCGAAGGCGAAUCUCUGGACAGUUACUGACACUGAGGCACGAAGGCCAGGGGAGCAAACGGG
Molecule: ribosomal RNA, 253 nt
Filed under: uncultured bacterium
Lineage: Bacteria
Description: partial 16S ribosomal RNA
Rfam family: Bacterial small subunit ribosomal RNA
Source: RNAcentral